UACGUAGGGUGCGAGCGUUGUCCGGAAUUAUUGGGCGUAAAGAGCUCGUAGGCGGUUUGUCGCGUCUGCCGUGAAAGUCCGGGGCUCAACUCCGGAUCUGCGGUGGGUACGGGCAGACUAGAGUGAUGUAGGGGAGACUGGAAUUCCUGGUGUAGCGGUGGAAUGCGCAGAUAUCAGGAGGAACACCGGUGGCGAAGGCGGGUCUCUGGGCAGUAACUGACGCUGAGGAGCGAAGACGUGGGGAGCGAACAGG
This 253-nucleotide ribosomal RNA is filed under the name uncultured bacterium. Its description in RNAcentral is "partial 16S ribosomal RNA". It matches the Rfam family "Bacterial small subunit ribosomal RNA", at positions 524 to 776 of the family's 1533-position model. The record is from RNAcentral.